This 107-nucleotide ribosomal RNA is filed under the name uncultured bacterium. RNAcentral describes it as "partial 16S ribosomal RNA". It matches the Rfam family "Bacterial small subunit ribosomal RNA", at positions 1378 to 1482 of the family's 1533-position model. The record is from RNAcentral.
CCGUUGUACACACCGCCCGUCACACCAUGGGAGUUGGUUUUACCCGAAGGCGCUGCGCUAACCCGCAAGGGAGGCAGGCGACCACGGUAGGGUCAGCGACUGGGGUG